GGGGGUACAGCUCAACUGAUAAGAGUGUUUGCCUCACAUGCACAAGGUCCUGGGUUCAAUCCCCAGCACCAUCA
This 74-nucleotide transfer RNA is filed under the name Ictidomys tridecemlineatus (thirteen-lined ground squirrel). Its description in RNAcentral is "Spermophilus tridecemlineatus (thirteen-lined ground squirrel) tRNA". It matches the Rfam family "tRNA". From Rfam's summary of the family: Transfer RNA (tRNA) molecules are approximately 80 nucleotides in length. The record is from Rfam by way of RNAcentral. Lineage: Eukaryota; Metazoa; Chordata; Mammalia; Rodentia; Sciuridae.